RNAcentral lists this ribosomal RNA (484 nucleotides) under uncultured bacterium. RNAcentral's name for it is "partial 16S ribosomal RNA". It matches the Rfam family "Bacterial small subunit ribosomal RNA", at positions 30 to 507 of the family's 1533-position model. The record is from RNAcentral.
AUUGAACGCUGGCGGCAGGCCUAACACAUGCAAGUCGAGCGGAUGAAGGGAGCUUGCUCCUGGAUUCAGCGGCGGACGGGUGAGUAAUGCCUAGGAAUCUGCCUGGUAGUGGGGGAUAACGUCCGGAAACGGGCGCUAAUACCGCAUACGUCCUGAGGUCGAAAGUGGGGGAUCUUCGGACCUCACGCUAUCAGAUGAGCCUAGGUCGGAUUAGCUAGUUGGUGUGGUAAAGGCCUACCAAGGCGACGAUCCGUAACUGGUCUGAGAGGAUGAUCAGUCACACUGGAACUGAGACACGGUCCAGACUCCUACGGGAGGCAGCAGUGGGGAAUAUUGGACAAUGGGCGAAAGCCUGAUCCAGCAAUGCCGCGUGUGUGAAGAAGGUCUUCGGAUUGUAAAGCACUUUAAGUUGGGAGGAAGGGAAGUAAGUUAAUACCUUGCUGUUUUGACGUUACCAAAAGAAUAAGCACCGGCUAACUUCGUG